AGCUCUUAUAACUAGUCUCAGGCCUCAUAGGAAUGUUUAGAGCAUUAAAUGAGGUCGGUUAGGCUGCAGGUCAGUGCCCUGCAUACUGUGAGAAUUCAGUAAAUGUCAAUAGUUAUUAUUAUGCCUAGUUUGCUCAUAAGUUCAUGUCUGUCUCUUCCUGUGUUGGAUUCCCAAGACCAAGCACCAGUACCUGGCAGGUAGGAGGAACCCAACAAUGAUCAAUAAAGGAUCUACCAGUAGACCAGCCAGAGCUUACUGGUGUCUUGGCACCUGAAGUAGGGAGGUGCUAUCCAUGUGAAGCAAGAGUUUCUCCAUGUCAGGCCAGCACAUGGCUGGGGAUGCCCCCAAGCCAGCCUCCUGGUCUUCAAAUCCCAGAAUGGAGAGAGCAGAGGGCUCAGCAGGAGAGAGCUGUCACUUUGGGCCUUGGGACGUGCCUGUCCUCACCCUCACAAGCAUAUUGUGUCAUGAGCGAGACUUGGCCCAGCCUGCCCACCCUUCCCUGACUUCUGAGUGCUUCUACCUCCUGCAGUGUGGCUCUUGCCAGCUUGCUUGGAGAUAUAUGUUUAGGGCUCUUCUUACCCACCAGACUGGGCCAACACAGAGUCCUAUUUCUCUUUGUAUUCCUAACUUUGUCAGGCCCCAUGCUGUGGAUAAGGGAUGCCACACUGACAAACAGGGACACUGGGGAAGAGCCCUAUGAGCAGGAUGAGCAAGAACCUGCCGUGGGGGGGGGGCAGUUUAGCCAAGGGAACUGUAAAGUCAGGGCACAGAGGUGGCUAGUUCUAGUGGCAGAAAGGCCAGGGAGACUGGAGCUAGAGGGCCAAAAGGUGCUGAGUUAAGAGAUGAGCAGGGCCAGGCUGUGGAGGUCUUCAGGCCAUGGGAAGAGGGCUGUGGCUUACCCUAAGCACAGGGGCAGAGGCCAUCAUUGGAGGUGGGGUUAAUUCAGGCCUGUGAAAGCUCUACUGAAGAGAGGCAGGGAGCCUAGAAGAAGCCUGAUGCAAGCAUCCAGGCAAGAGGUGGAGACUGAAACCAGGCUGUAGCAGGGAACAUGAAGGAGGCAGGGCAUACUUCAGAGACAAACAGCUGUAGCACUGAUGACAGCAGGUAUGUAUAUGGGUACCAAGGACAGGUGAAGGAAUAGAGGAAUGGAAGAAGACCUCUAGGAUUUUGGGGAAAAAAAAUUUUUUUUGGUACUGGGGAUCGAACUCAGGUCCUUGCAUUUGUGCAGCAGGCAGCGAAACCACUGAGCUAAAUCCCCGGCCCGGAUUUUGGAAAAUGGAGGAUCCACAAUUGAAAUGGGGAGGCGAAAGAGGACCAGGUUGGACAGGGGCUGGGUGGUGGCAGCAGGAGCUCCGUGUGGGCCGUGCUGAGUUUUCAACACCUAUUAGUCACCAGUGGAAAUGCCAAGUAGUGAUGUGUCUACAAGCUCCCAGCUGGGCAGAGAUGGGGUUUCUCUCUCCUUUGUACUCCAGCACCCUUGCCAGAGCCCAGCACAAUCCUGGCACCAGAUAAGAUUAGUGAGAGAAGGAACGACUGAAGCUGGACGAAAAGGUUUACAGUAGGCUUUCCGAGACCACCAGAGGGCAGCACCAUCCCAAAGACCAGUCUCCCCAGGGUGGUGAAGGCCCUCCACUGUCCUUUCCAAGCCCAGGAGUUCCUUUCCUAAGAAUUGGGGGGGCGGGGGGGGCGGGCUGGAAACCAGCUCUGUGGAGGGGUCCCUUCAGGCCUAGCCAGAGGUGUAGGUCGGGCUUUGGGUGGGAUAGCCCACCUGGGUUUCCAAAUAGUGGGAGGAAGGGGCACUUUGUGGAACAGAAUGGUUGGGAUUUCUGAACCACACAAAGACUCUGGUCUGACAAGUUCAUUGGGCAAAAAUUUUUUAAAUAGGGGCUGUUGCAGAAAACCCAAGCUAGCAUGUGGCUGUGCUCACAGUCCCAAAGAGUCAGGGCAGGGAAUGGGGAGAGGAGGAGGUUAGCGGCCUCCUGCUGUGGUAUCUAAUCUUUUUCUGCCCCAAAUUCUAAGUGCUCCAAGAGCUCAUUCACUGGGUCAUCUAUUCAUUCAUUCAUCAGACGCUGACUGAUGCCUUUCUGAGUCUGGUCCUCUGGUGGACACCAGAGCAAGAGAUGAACCAGGUACUGCUGAUCUGAGAAGCCAACCUAGAAGUGCACAGGGAGGGGAGUCUCUGCCUUGCUAAAAGGUCCUGGAGACUGGCCCAUGAGCUGCCAUGAGGAUUGAGUUCUGUGUCUAGGGCUUGGGGAGGGUUGGGGCUCUGCUGUCUUGGAAAGCAGAGAGGCAUGUUGAGAUGGGGGUGCUGCCUUGAGAUACUCAGCUUUUCACUCUCUGUGUGGGCUCUGGGCAGGGUGAGUUCCUCUUGCCAGGCAAUACAGAGACCCCCAAUCUCUUAGGAGAGGUUUGGCCUCCAUGCUGUGAAAUUACCAGGAAUGAAUUUCUGGAUGGGAUGGGGUGCAGAGAAGGAAGCUGAGCCAAGCAUGCUAGCCAAGGACCUGGGCUUCAAGGGUCCUUGGUCCUGAGUGGGAGUCCUGGAGCCAGGAUGGGUCUGGAGCAAAAGGGGAGGCAGUGGGUGUGGGGUACAUUGGAGUCUGACUGCACUUGUCAGACCUCAGGUUAUUUUUUUUUGGGUACUGGAGAUCGAACUCAGGACUUUUCACUUUUGAGGCAGGCAGUGGCACCACUGAGGUAAAUCCCUGGCCCAGGGCCCAGGUUCUUGCCAAGCUGUUCAGGGUUCUGUGUCCUAGGCUGGAUGUCCAAAGUUCUGGAUGUUGAUCUGGAGUUGAUGGUCCAAGUCCAGGUCAGGGACCUAUCCGAAACACCAGGUCAGGGUUAUGGUAGUGAUCUGGGUCUGAGAUUGGAAUCAAGGUUGGGUUAGAUCAAGGUCUUGGCCUGCUGGAGGUCUGGGGUCAAUGUUGAAGUCUGGGUGUGGAGCCAGAGUUGUGAUCUGUGGUCAUGGUCAUAGUCUGCAGUGGUGCUCCAAGGUCUCAGUCCAAGGUCCUAUUUGGCGUCUAAAGACAGGAUUUUCAACUAAGGACUGGUGUCAGGUCAUGGGUGGACAGUGGUGUCCAAGGUCAGGGAGUCAGGGGUUAGAGUCAGAGUCUGAAAGCUAAGUUCCAGGAUCAUAUUCUGAAAUUUGAGUCCAGGGUCUAGGGUCCUUGUGAUCCAUGACUGGCGUUGGAGAGGGGGGUCUGAUUUUGGAGCCUGGGAUCCACAGAUGUGACUCGAAGUUGUGGCUACAAUCUGAGUCUGAGGGCGUCUUCGGCCAGGGCUCCUGUCGUGUUCCAGGUGCAAGGUGGACAGUCGAGGUCACUGUCAGGGUCUGAGAUUAGGGUCCCACAUCUAGGUCAAGUCUCCGGUUUUAGUGGCGCCCUACGAGAGUUCCGCC
RNAcentral lists this long non-coding RNA (3394 nucleotides) under Heterocephalus glaber (naked mole-rat). RNAcentral describes it as "lncRNA (ENSHGLG00100032881.1)". Lineage: Eukaryota; Metazoa; Chordata; Mammalia; Rodentia; Bathyergidae. The record is from RNAcentral.